This 491-nucleotide ribosomal RNA is filed under the name uncultured bacterium. RNAcentral's name for it is "partial 16S ribosomal RNA". It matches the Rfam family "Bacterial small subunit ribosomal RNA", at positions 29 to 506 of the family's 1533-position model. The record is from RNAcentral.
AGUGAACGCUGGCGGUAGGCCUAACACAUGCAAGUCGAACGGCAGCACAGUAAGAGCUUGCUCUUACGGGUGGCGAGUGGCGGACGGGUGAGGAAUACAUCGGAAUCUACUUUUUCGUGGGGGAUAACGUAGGGAAACUUACGCUAAUACCGCAUACGACCUACGGGUGAAAGCAGGGGAUCUUCGGACCUUGCGCGAUUGAAUGAGCCGAUGUCGGAUUAGCUAGUUGGCGGGGUAAAGGCCCACCAAGGCGACGAUCCGUAGCUGGUCUGAGAGGAUGAUCAGCCACACUGGAACUGAGAAACGGUCCAGACUCCUAGGGGAGGCAGCAGUGGGGAAUAUUGGACAAUGGGCGAAAGCCUGUUCAAGCCAUACGGCGUGGGUGAAGAAGGCCUUCGGGUGGUAAAGCCCUUUUGUUGGGAAAGAAAGGCAGCAGGUUAAUACCCCGCUGUUCUGACGGUACCCAAAGAAUAAGCACCGGCUAACUUCGU